Molecule: ribosomal RNA, 501 nt
Filed under: uncultured bacterium
Lineage: Bacteria
Description: partial 16S ribosomal RNA
Rfam family: Bacterial small subunit ribosomal RNA
Source: RNAcentral
AUUGAACGCUGGCGGCAGGCUUAACACAUGCAAGUCGAGCGGAGAUGAGGUGCUUGCACCUUAUCUUAGCGGCGGACGGGUGAGUAAUGCUUAGGAAUCUGCCUAUUAGUGGGGGACAACAUUCCGAAAGGAAUGCUAAUACCGCAUACGUCCUACGGGAGAAAGCAGGGGAUCUUCGGACCUUGCGCUAAUAGAUGAGCCUAAGUCGGAUUAGCUAGUUGGUGGGGUAAAGGCCAACCAAGGCGACGAUCUGUAGCGGGUCUGAGAGGAUGAUCCGCCACACUGGGACUGAGGCACGGCCCAGACUCCUACGGGAGGCAGCAGUGGGGAAUAUUGGACAAUGGAGGAAACCCUGAUCCAGCCAUGCCGCGUGUGUGAAGAAGGCCUUAUGGUUGUAAAGCACUUUAAGCGAGGAGGAGGCUACUGAGACUAAUACUCUUGGAUAGUGGACGUUACUCGCAGAAUAAGCACCGGCUAACUCUGUGCCAGCAGCCGCCGUAA